UUAUGCACCCAUAAAAAAGAAUGAAAUCUUGUCAUUUGAACAACAUGGAUGGAGCUAGGGAGUAUAACACUUAAGUGAAAUAUGUCAAUCAGAGAAAGACAAAUACCAUAUGAUUUCACUCAUAUGUAUAAUUUAAAAACAAAACAAAUGAGCAAAGGGGAAAAAAGAGAGAGAGGCAAACUAAGAAAUAGACUUUCAACUAUAGAGAGUAAAUUGAUCAUUACCAGAGGGGAGGUGGAGUAGGAGAAUGAGUGAAAUAGGUGAUGGGAUUAAGGAUUGCACAGUUGUGAUGAGCCCCACAUGUUGUAUGGAGUGUUGAAUCACUGUAUUGUACACCCAAAAUUAAUAUCAAUUACACUAUAUGUUAACUAACUGGAAUUUAAAUAAAAACUUAAAAAAACCUCCUGCAAAUCAACAACAAAAACCCCAAACACAAUUCAAAAGUAAAAAGGAUUUGAAUAGAUUUUCUCCCAAGAAGAUAUACAAAUGGAAAAUAAGCAUGAAAAGAUACUUAACAUCACUUGUCAUUAUGGAAAUGCAAUCCAAAACCACACUGAGAUAAACACACUAGAAUGGUUACAGUUUUAAAAAAUGGAAAAUAUUACAUGUUGAUGUGAAUGUAGAGAAAUUAGAACUCUCAUAUAUCCCUGGUGGGAAUAAAAAAUGUUGAAGCCACAAUGGAAAACAGUUUUUUGGUUUCUUAAAAAGGUAAAAAUGGGGGCGCCUGCGUGGCUCAGUCAGUUAAGCGUCCAAUUUCAGCUCAGGUCAUGGUGGAUUCUUGAGUUCGAGUCCCACAUAAGGCUCUCUGCUGUCUGCACAGAGCCAGCUUCGGAUCCUCUGUCCCCUUCUUUCUGCCUCUCCCCCCGCUAUGUGCUCUCUCUUGCAAAAAUAAAUAAACAUUUAAAAAAAGAUAAAAAUAGAAUUGCCAUGUGACUCAGCAUUCCACUCCUAUGUAUUUAUCCAAAGGAAUGCAAAGCAUGGACUCAAACAGGUAUGCCAAUGUUCACAGCAGCGUUAUUCACACUAGCUAAAAGGUGGAAACAACACAAGUGUCCAUCAACAGAUGAAUGGAUUGAUAACACAAUCAUUCCACAAUCAUGUGGUAUAUAAACACAAUGGAAUAUUAUUCUGCUAUAAAAAGGAAGUACUGAUACUUGCUACAACAUGGAUGAGCCUAGCAAAUAUGCAAAGCGAAAGUAGUGAGACACAAAAGGGUGUUAUAUAAUUUGUCUUAAAUGAUAUAUGAAGAAUGAUCAAAUUCACAGAGAAAGAAGUCAGAUCAGAGGUUACCAGGAGCUGGGGAGAUGGAAGAAAUGGGAGUUAUCACUUAAUGGUACAUUUUGUGUUUGGGGUGAUGAAAGUCUGGGAAGUAGAGAGUGGUGAUGGCUGCACGCCAUUGUGAAUCCAAUUAAAGCUAGCGAACUGUACGCUUAAAAACGGUUAAAUGAGAAAUGUUAUCUGAUAUGUAUUUUACCAUACCACAAUUUAAAACAAAUUAGUAUUGUAAUAUACCAAAACUAUUGAAGUUCAAGCUUUAAAUGGAUGAGUCACAUGUGAAUUAGGUCUCAGUAAAGCUUUUUAAAAACCACCAUGAGAUCCUACUACACCCCUACUAGAAUAGCUAAAAUUAACAGUGCUUAUUACCAAGCGAGGAUGAAGGGGUGGAGGAGCUGGAACUCUCACACUGUUGAUAGGAAACAAGUCUGGAACUUUCUUUUAAAAGUCUGGUAACCGGGCUCCUGUGUGCCACACAGUAUGGCAGUGAUGUCUGUCUUUUCCUAAUUUUUUUUUCUCUCUCAGUCUUGACCUGAACUUUACCCUAGCUGUGAAGCACUGCAGAGGCCGACAAGACAGCAGUAAGCUCAUCCCUGAGAGGACUGUGUUUUUAGCCGGAAGGCAGGAAGAAGUGACCUGUGGUCUGAAGAAUGUGGAUGAAAUGUGACUUGAACGGGACAUCCUCACACGUUUUGUCACCGCCCUUUCCUGACAUAUUUGAUACCCUCACCUUGACUGGUCCCUCUGGCAGCACAUCUGGGGCCCUGCAAGACGGCAAUGCUGGCAUGCUAUGGUCCGCUAUUUCUCCAACGACCCCCUUUACGUUGGAUUCAAAUUCUCACCUUCACUGACCCACUUUUAUAAACUGUCAUGUGGGUCUAUCCCUGGAGAUAAGGGGGCAGCACAACCACAUGCUCCACCGUCUGUGCGUCAACUGAGGAGCACAGUGACCGGUCACCAACAGACUCUGCAAGAAGUGACUUCACGGGUCACUGAGCAUGACGCCAUCUGUUAUUUACACAGUGACGGGUGGACUGAGUGUCGUCAAAAACCGACCUCUGUGCUUUGGAGCCAAAGUAUAACAUGAAGACAGAGUUUGGGACAAAGAGGAAUAAUAGCUUCAUUGCCUGGCCAGGCCAGGGAGGCUGCUGCAGGCUAAGGCCUUCAAAAUUGCAAGCCCACCUGGAGAAGGGGCUGGGGUCUUACAGAAAAAUACAGGGGCUAGCUGGUUUGGACACAAAUUGCAUACUUGCCGCCAGCCUUGUUCAUCAUGUCUUCAGGGUGGUACCGGGUUCCUGGAACAAAAAGCUAAGAAUCGAGAUGGGCAGGUUUGCGGGAGAGAGGGAAAAGGUUCCGUGGGUUAAAAUCAAGCUUCACUGAAGCGUUAGUGCAGCUAUUUUGAUUUUUGUUCAGCAUUCUGCUUUCGCAGUUUCGUGAGGAGCCACAGCAGCUUGCGGCCAGGUUGUACUUUGUGCCGUUAUAUGGUUACUGUGCUGUGGUAACUGAAACUCCAAUGAUGUCCACGCCCACUACUAUCAACUAGAGGGUGGUAACUGAAAUUUCGCAAUCAUGAAGUGUCACUUCCGCCGUAUAACAUUAACUGGAUGUGAAUCCCCAAUACUGGAUCGCUCCCAAGGGGACGGGAAGUAGGCUCCACUAUUUGAGUGAAAGAGUGUCAGUGAAACUGUGCACACGUUUUAGAACCAGCACAUUUCUGAAAUGUAUUGUCGCUGCAUAUCAUUCUGGGCUGAUGAUUCUUUUCCGCUAAUACUCUAAAGGUAUUGUUGCACUGUGUUCUGGCCUACAUGAUUUUUUUAUUAGACAUCUGUGCUUAUUGCAAUUCAAGUUGUUAUUCCCUGUAUUGAAUGUGAUGUUUUGUUUUUCUGGUUGCAGUCAAGAUUUUUUUUGUCUUUGGUUUUAAGCAGUUAGACCAUGACAAACUGAGCAUCUUGGAUUUUGCUGGGUGUCUUGAACCUGUACAUUUAUUUUGUUCACCAGAUUUUAACUUUUCAAGUAAUUAUUUCUUCAAAAUAUUUUUUUCUGCACCAAUUCCCCCUGCCCCAUCUUUCUUAGACUCAAAUGACAAAAAUACUAGGGUUUUUUUUUUCACAUUGUCUCACAGAUUCCUGAAGCUCUGUUCAUUUUGUCUUUUUUUUUCUCAGUGUUUCUCAGAUUGGUUAAUUUGUAUUGAUCUGUCUUGAAUUCACGGACUCUUUCUUCUGUGAUAUCUGUUCUUCUAUGAAGCCCAUAUACUACAUGUUUUUUAAUUUCAGAACUUAUAUUUUUCAGUUCCAAAAUUCCCACUUGGAAAUUCUGUGUCUCUGCCAAGAAUUUCUUCCUAUUUAUAUUAAGAGCUUAUAAUAUUAUAAUUAUAAUAGCUGCUUUCAAGUUUUUGUCUGAUAAUCGAAAAUCUGUAUCAUUUUUGGCUUGACAUGUGUUGUCUUUUCCCUUGUGAAUAAAUGAUAUAUCCCUGGU
Neofelis nebulosa (Clouded leopard) is the source of this 3750-nucleotide long non-coding RNA. RefSeq lists it as uncharacterized. The record is from RefSeq and is a predicted model, not a curated record. The transcript is spliced from 2 exons. Lineage: Eukaryota; Metazoa; Chordata; Mammalia; Carnivora; Felidae.